RNAcentral lists this ribosomal RNA (61 nucleotides) under Faecalicatena contorta. Its description in RNAcentral is "partial 16S ribosomal RNA". It matches the Rfam family "Bacterial small subunit ribosomal RNA", at positions 1 to 60 of the family's 1533-position model. Lineage: Bacteria; Bacillati; Bacillota; Clostridia; Lachnospirales; Lachnospiraceae. The record is from RNAcentral.
UUUUUACGAGAGUUUGAUCCUGGCUCAGGAUGAACGCUGGCGGCGUGCUUAACACAUGCAA